This 91-nucleotide non-coding RNA is filed under the name Luteibacter sp. Sphag1AF. Lineage: Bacteria; Pseudomonadati; Pseudomonadota; Gammaproteobacteria; Lysobacterales; Rhodanobacteraceae. The record is from RNAcentral.
CCUUACGGCGGGCGUGUCGGGCAGGCUUCGUGCCUGGCCGGGUGAUGCCUUUGAACUGCCGGUUUUCGACCCCGACACGUCCGCCACCUUG